This 529-nucleotide ribosomal RNA is filed under the name Lactobacillus sp. RNAcentral's name for it is "bacterial SSU rRNA". It matches the Rfam family "Bacterial small subunit ribosomal RNA", at positions 56 to 541 of the family's 1533-position model. Lineage: Bacteria; Bacillati; Bacillota; Bacilli; Lactobacillales; Lactobacillaceae. The record is from RNAcentral.
UGCAGUCGAGCGAGCAGAACCAGCAGAUUUACUUCGGUAAUGAUGCUGGGGACGCGAGCGGCGGAUGGGUGAGUAACACGUGGGGAACCUGCCCCAUAGUCUGGGAUACCACUUGGAAACAGGUGCUAAUACCGGAUAAGAAAGCAGAUCGCAUGAUCAGCUUAUAAAAGACGGCGUAAGCUGUCGCUAUGGGAUGGCCCCGCGGUGCAUUAGCUAGUUGGCAAGGUAACGGCUUACCAAGGCAAUGAUGCAUAGCCGAGUUGAGAGACUGAUCGGCCACAUUGGGACUGAGACACGGCCCAAACUCCUACGGGAGGCAGCAGUAGGGAAUCUUCCACAAUGGACGCAAGUCUGAUGGAGCAACGCCGCGUGAGUGAAGAAGGUUUUCGGAUCGUAAAGCUCUGUUGUUGGUGAAGAAGGAUAGAGGUAGUAACUGGCCUUUAUUUGACGGUAAUCAACCAGAAAGUCACGGCUAACUACGUGCCAGCAGCCGCGGUAAUAGAUCGGAAGAGCACACGUCUGAACCUCC